GGGGGCCCGCACAAGCGGUGGAGCAUGUGGUUUAAUUCGAUGAUACGCGAGGAACCUUACCUGGGCUCAAAUGUAUGUUGACGUAUUCUGAAAGGGAUACUUCUUCGGACAAUAUACAAGGUGCUGCAUGGUUGUCGUCAGCUCGUGCCGUGAGGUGUCGGGUUAAGUCCCAUAACGAGCGCAACCCCUAUCAUUAGUUGCCAUCAGGUCAAGCUGGGGACUCUAAUGAAACUGCCUACGCAAGUAGUGAGGAAGGUGGGGAUGACGUCAAAUCAGCACGGCCCUUACGUCCAGGGCUACACACGUGCUACAAUGGUCGGUACAAAGGGUUGCCAAGCCGCGAGGUGGAGCUAAUCCCAUAAAACCGAUCGUAGUCCGGAUCGCAGUCUGCAACUCGACUGCGUGAAGUCGGAAUCGCUAGUAAUCGUGAAUCAGAAUGUCACGGUGAAUACGUUCCCGGGCCUU
Molecule: ribosomal RNA, 465 nt
Filed under: uncultured Sphingobacteriales bacterium
Lineage: Bacteria; Pseudomonadati; Bacteroidota; Sphingobacteriia; Sphingobacteriales
Description: bacterial SSU rRNA
Rfam family: Bacterial small subunit ribosomal RNA
Source: RNAcentral